Molecule: non-coding RNA, 107 nt
Organism: Gossypium hirsutum (cotton)
Lineage: Eukaryota; Viridiplantae; Streptophyta; Magnoliopsida; Malvales; Malvaceae
Source: Rfam
AUACCAUGAUGAGCGUAUUUUCAUAAUAAUUCCUUAAAUCGUUCUCAUGCCUCAUACAAGGACUCAUUAUCAAAUUGCUAAAAUGUAGUAAUUUCAUUUCCAAGAUU